This 367-nucleotide long non-coding RNA is filed under the name Volvox carteri. RNAcentral describes it as "long non-coding RNA (VCAR_LNC000388)". Lineage: Eukaryota; Viridiplantae; Chlorophyta; Chlorophyceae; Chlamydomonadales; Volvocaceae. The record is from RNAcentral.
GCUAAAGUUAGUUUACCGCAAUGUCUGAUCCUAACUUACAGUCUAACCAUAAUCAUCAAAGCUAAAGGUCUUCAGUGCACCCUGGUACUCUGUACUCCUGAAAACUGAAUUUCAUGUCAAGAGUUACCGGUCAUUUACACGACAGGACACAUUAUACGAAUAAGGCACUGUCAGCGCAGCACUUGCGCGCGUAUUGUUGUCAUUUGAAUCAUAUGGGGUUUCGGAUGGGGGCCUUCCGAAUGCAAUAAAUGCACCCAGGCCCUGAGGUCCCAGGGCACAGUUCUGCUCUGUUGGCCCUACCAACGGCACGCCGCACGCGGGUUUCAGCAGCUUCGAUGCAUGAAAACAAUUCCAGAGCCAAGCUGAC